Molecule: small RNA, 271 nt
Filed under: synthetic construct
Source: RNAcentral
GGACCGAGAAGUUACCCAAAACCUCAACAGGUCGCUUUGUGAGCCUGAAGUGAAUUGGAAGCUCGCGAGAGCAAACUAGUUCGGUCUUGGAUUCCUUGGGAGUCCUGCCUAUUUAACCACUAAGUCAGUCACAUGGAAACGCGAUGGCUAGGUUGCGCGUUACUACAAAAUUGGCACCAGAUAUACUGUAGAGUACUCGGGGAGUACUGAACGCCAUAGUAAAGACAAUAGGCCUCUAUCAGCGAUAUGAUGUUACGCACAUCGCAGCAAC